RNAcentral lists this unclassified non-coding RNA (309 nucleotides) under plant metagenome. RNAcentral describes it as "partial contains 5.8S ribosomal RNA, internal transcribed spacer 2, and large subunit ribosomal RNA". The stretch from base 1 to 105 matches the Rfam family "5.8S ribosomal RNA", at positions 50 to 154 of the family's 154-position model. The record is from RNAcentral.
GAAAUGCGAAAAGACGUGUGAAUUGCAGAAUUCAGUGAAUCAUCGAAUCUUUGAACGCACAUUGCGCCCCUUGGUAUUCCAUGGGGCAUGCCUGUUCGAGCGUCAUUUGUACCCUCAAGCUCUGCUUGGUGUUGGGUGUUUGUCCCGUCUCCGCGCGUGGACUCGCCCCAAAGUGAUUGGCAGCCGGCGUACUGGUCCCGGAGCGCAGCACAUGUCGCGCAAACGAGUGCCUUGGUACGGCGGCGUCCAUAAGCCCCUCUCUCACGCUCUUGACCUCGGAUCAGGUAGGGAUACCCGCUGAACUUAAGC